CCUACGGGGUGCUGCAGUGGCGAAUAUUGGACAAUGGGCGAAAGCCUGAUCCAGCCAUGCCGCGUGUGUGAAGAAGGCCUUCGGGUUGUAAAGCACUUUCAGUGGGGAAGAAAGCCUUGGGGCUAAUACCCUCGAGGAAGGACAUCACCCACAGAAGAAGCACCGGCUAACUCCGUGCCAGCAGCCGCGGUAAUACGGAGGGUGCGAGCGUUAAUCGGAAUUACUGGGCGUAAAGCGCGCGUAGGCGGUCUGAUAAGCCGGUUGUGAAAGCCCCGGGCUCAACCUGGGAACGGCAUCCGGAACUGUCAGGCUAGAGUGCAGGAGAGGAAGGUAGAAUUCCCGGUGUAGCGGUGAAAUGCGUAGAGAUCGGGAGGAAUACCAGUGGCGAAGGCGGCCUUCUGGACUGACACUGACGCUGAGGUGCGAAAGCGUGGGUAGCAAACAGGAUUAGAUACCCUUGUAGUC
RNAcentral lists this ribosomal RNA (465 nucleotides) under Vreelandella stevensii. RNAcentral's name for it is "partial 16S ribosomal RNA". It matches the Rfam family "Bacterial small subunit ribosomal RNA", at positions 338 to 795 of the family's 1533-position model. The record is from RNAcentral. Lineage: Bacteria; Pseudomonadati; Pseudomonadota; Gammaproteobacteria; Oceanospirillales; Halomonadaceae.